Molecule: ribosomal RNA, 661 nt
Filed under: uncultured cyanobacterium
Lineage: Bacteria; Bacillati; Cyanobacteriota
Description: bacterial SSU rRNA
Rfam family: Bacterial small subunit ribosomal RNA
Source: RNAcentral
CGGACGGGUGAGUAACGCGUGAGGAUCUGCCCUUAGGACGGGGACAACAGCUGGAAACGGCUGCUAAUACCCGAUGUGCCGAGAGGUGAAACUAUUUGGCCUGAGGAUGAGCUCGCGUCUGAUUAGCUAGUUGGAGUGGUAACGGCACACCAAGGCGACGAUCAGUAGCUGGUCUGAGAGGAUGAUCAGCCACACUGGGACUGAGACACGGCCCAGACUCCUACGGGAGGCAGCAGUGGGGAAUUUUCCGCAAUGGGCGAAAGCCUGACGGAGCAAGACCGCGUGCGGGAGGAAGGUCUAUUGAUUGUAAACCGCUUUUGAUAGGGAAGAAGAUCUGACGGUACCUAUCGAAUCAGCAUCGGCUAACUCCGUGCCAGCAGCCGCGGUAAUACGGGGGAUGCAAGCGUUAUCCGGAAUUAUUGGGCGUAAAGCGUCCGUAGGUGGUUUCAAAAGUCUGUUGUCAAAUCGCGAGGCUUAACCUCGUACAGGCAGUGGAAACUAUGAGACUAGAGUGCGGUAGGGGUAGAGGGAAUUUCCAGUGUAGCGGUGAAAUGCGUAGAUAUUGGAAAGAACACCGGUGGCGAAGGCGCUCUACUGGGCCUGCACUGACACUGAGGGACGAAAGCUAGGGGAGCGAAAGGGAUUAGAUACCCCUGUAGUC